RNAcentral lists this long non-coding RNA (1395 nucleotides) under Calidris pygmaea (Spoon-billed sandpiper). RNAcentral describes it as "lncRNA (ENSCPGG00000015588.1)". The record is from RNAcentral. Lineage: Eukaryota; Metazoa; Chordata; Aves; Charadriiformes; Scolopacidae.
GCGUACAUGAGGAUUCGCGCCUCAAGCGUGGCGGCGGCUCUUGCAGCACUAAGCGUGCUCUUUUGCGGACGGGGGGGGGAAUGUAGUCAUGGGUCGGACUACAACUCCCAGCGGCCCCUCAUAAAUCUCGUAUGUGCACACGGCUCCGGCCUGACUGCACUCUGCCGUUGUCGUCGUAGGUGCGUGGGGGGGAAGGGAGCGAGCGCGGCAGUGAGGAGGGGGUUAGAGUUGAGAGUUUAUCUGCCGCCGUUGUUGUUGUUUUCUGUUUGGACUCAUGAUUCCUAUAUGCCCGGUAGUGUCGUUCACCUAUGUGCCCAGCCGGCUGGGAGAAGAUGCCAAAAUGGCCACCGGCAACUACUUUGGUUUCACCCAUAGCGGGGCUGCUGCCCAGUAUAGGUAACCGCCGCGACCCCUCCCUGCCCCGCUCGCUAUUCGGGUCCGGAGCCACCUCUCCCCUUUUCAACUCCGGUCCUGUGUCCCUGACUGGGAUCUCUCCGCCCCCUCGGGGGUGAGUUCUCGGGACUGGCUCCCAUCCCCCGCCCCGCGUGGGGGCCUCUUCUGCACCCUGCUCAUCCGGCAUGGUUGUGCUUGGGAUCCUUCUGUUUGUCUGCACCGCCCGCGGGUGUGUUUUUUUUACACUCCUGGUAAAGGCCUCCCUGUAUUCUCAGUUGUGUGAGGGUGGGGAGGUGGAGCCGGGCACCACGGAGGAGGAGGAGAAUCAGCGGCAGCAUCAGGUCCUUAGAUUAAAAUGGCUACUUGCAUUCAACAAUAUCGGCGAGUUACUGUCUGCCGCCCCCGGGUCCUUCUUCAGCUUCAGGGAAGAUGGGCUUUGUUUCCCAAGUUUUUGCCUCCCCCUAUGUCAGUGUGGGAGGAUGGAAUCCUUUUUAACAUAGGUUAAAAUUACACCAACCCAACCUAUGGGAGACUGCAUAGUAAGGGAAGAGCUGAAGCACCAGAAAAUACAGGGGACUGUCUCAUUCCACUGAAGCAAUGCUAUAAUUACUGUCACUCAGAAAGUAGAUAAGGUAUUUUUGGGGCCAGGCACCUUUUGAAAAGGUUUCCUACUUAAAUAUCGAAGACCAAGAGCAGGUCUUACAGUGGAACUCAGGGGUCUGUAACUGUACAUCUUGUAUAGACAUACUGCCUUAAAUCUUUGUAUCUUUGUACUCUUUGUGCAUCCAAAUUCUGUAUCAGUGUUAGUAAUUGGUAGCACCUGUUAUCUCACUUUUUCUGAAAUCAAAUGACUUGAUUUGGCAACAAACACAUUCAAUCAGGAACAUCCUAACAUUUUUUUGCUUUUAUUGAAGUAAUACCUUGAAGUCCACAUUUAAAUCUGCAUUCUUCAUUUCAUAAAUCUGUAAUAAAGAACUUCCUUGACUCCGAAGUCUUGGUUAA